This is a long non-coding RNA of Callithrix jacchus (white-tufted-ear marmoset), 3209 nucleotides long. The record is from Ensembl. NCBI's taxonomy places the organism in Eukaryota, Metazoa, Chordata, Mammalia, Primates, Cebidae.
AUGUGCUUCUCUGGGAUCCUAUGUUUGAAAAAAACAUACCCUACAAAGCUACUGCCCCUUCCUGCUGGACACCAUAAUGAGGACAUAAGCCAGUGCGAAAUUGACCAGAAACCUGAAUUUACGCUGACCCUGAAAAUUCCAGCCUCCCUCAGCCAAACCUCAGCCAACAUUCCGGCCUAUUCACCUCUGCUGACACAGAUGGACUUCACACGCCUGCAUCCCUUGGCCUGGAAGCUUCUCCCUCCUCAGGAGCAGGUUUGGCUUAUGAGCAGUAAAGCCGGUGGUGCCAAGGCUCAGCGCCCCCAGAGACAUAAUCCAAUCAUUGAUGGAGUGGAAGUGGUGGAAAUCUCCCCAGUUUCCUGCCCUUCAGAAUGGGCCAACUGUGAGACGUGUCCUUUACCGUCUCCCAGAAUCCUCUAGCAAGGUUAGCCUCAGUUGGCUAAAGCAGUAACUUGCUCCAUAGAAAAGGAAAAUACAUGAAAAUGCUUGCUGAUGUAUUUUCCUUUUUUAUUCAAUUUUCCUACUCCCUUCCUGGUGCUUUCUGGAAUCACCUCCCAAUAAACCAUUAUCACUCGUAUCUUUUCAUUUAAAGGUCUGCUUCCUGGUGAGCCCAGCCAAUGACACCUCCUGAACCACAAUCUCUGGUGCAGGGGAUGGGAUUGUCCACAGACUGGCAUUUGGGAACCAAUGACGUGGUUAGUGAAUAGAAUAUGUCACAGGAUCUGUAUCGACAUCCAAACCUCAGCAGUGCUGUAUGCUGUUAGCUCGGUCUGAAGUAAAUUGCAUAAUUCCUCGAGCUGCACUCAAGUGAGGACAGUAACUCCUCUGAAAGGUUGUGGUGAGCGUUGUAGAAGAUAUGGAGAGUCCUAGCACACAGCAGGCAAGCCACAAAUGCCAAUCAUUGUUGUGAAUCCCCAUCACGCUACACACAACUCUAUCUGUUUAUUUUAUUUUAUUUUUUAGAGACAAGAUUUCACUGUCACCCAGGCUGGAGUGCAGUGCCAUGACCACAGUUCACUGAGGCCUAAACCCCGGGGCUUGAAUCAUCCUCCCACCUCGGCCUCCAGAGUAGUUGGGACUACAGGUCCAAGACACCAUGUGUCGUUACAUUUACAAAAUGUUUUUAGAGACAGGGUCUCACUAUAUCGCCCCGGCUGGUCUCAAAUUCCUGGCCUUAAGCUAUGCCCUGCCCCAGCCUCCUGAAUACCUGGGAUUCACAACUCUUUAUUUAGUGAAAUGUGAGACUCACAGGUGACCACAGAGGCCAUUAGCAGAUCCAAAACUAUGACGGAGAGGAUGACCUGCUUUGCACAAUAGACUCAAUUUUCUGCCACAGUGAAACUUAUUACAAACAUAAAAUGGUAUAUUAAGUCAAAUAACGAGCCAUUUGGUUCAUUCACGCCUGUAUUCUGUCUCCAAAAAAGGCAUGAAGAAAUGUCCAAGGAGGAAACCUGACACUGCUUCUUAGAGGCAUCUUUCUCUGCCUCCCCAACUCCUGUGUGUCACAUGAAACAAGCUUCCCCAUCUCAUGGAUGAGGGGGAAUCCUCAAUUUCUUCAUUCUUCUCUCAUACUCUAUUCAAAGCACCUGCUUCCCCUGAGCACCUUCUCUUCUGAAGGUUGUUCUCAUUUUAUUCCUGCAGCUCCUCUCUUUUGCAAAUGUUACCCUUCUUCUUGGUAGCCUGAGGGCUGUGGAAAAACCACUGUUCAUCAGCGUGUGUAUCGACCUCCUCCCUCAGAGCUGCUCAUGCUCCCUCCUCAUCCCGAGCUGUGUCUAGCCCUAGGUACACUCCUUAAAAGAAGGCUUGAUAUUCCCAGUCCUUCUCCAUUGAAGUUUUCCCCUAAAAGAAACCCCCUUCAGGAUCUGAACACCUAAGCUCUCGCUCUUAAAAAGCAAGUUCCAUUCAGGUUCCACAAGCAUCCUAAAAUAGCAUAAUAUGGCAAAAUGCAAGGUCAUAUUUAUAUUUCCCAUGCCUCUUUAACCACAGAUGGACUUUAUUUUAAGAUAUUAUUUCAAAUAUGCUCAAUUUCUCUCUUUCCCUCAACCUAUGGAAUCAUCAUUUUCUCCUUUCCUUUAUUUGGUUGUUUAUUUACAAAUGUCACAAGUCUUCAUCUUUGCUCUCCUCCCUAUUAUCAAACCACUCCCUUCUCUGCACAAAUAAAAAGAAGCAAACAAGCGUUCAACUGGCUAAAAAGCAAGCCCUGAGUCAGCCUGUUUUCCCCGCAUUACUGGGCUCCGUCCUAAGCUGGAUGGAGGCCUGACGGAAUCUACAAGCUGAAAACUUCUGUCCCUCUUCCUUGUCUCUCGUCUUCCUUCCCCAAGCUUCUUCCUGGGAAAGAACGGUCUUCCCCGACCGACUGAGAGGGGCAUUCCAACAGACUUUUGGGUUCCUGGGAAUCCUCUCUUCUCUAGCUUAGGCCUGGGGGCCUGACUUUGUUUUCAAAGUUUGGAUUUUUAUACAACUUGGAGCCAAAAAACAAAAUCCACUGAGGCUGUACCUGCGCGGAAGUACUCACUUUUCACUUUGCCUUGUUUUCAGCAGCUGGAGGACAAGCAAGUUGUCUUUUAGGCCUUUAAUCUAAAGUUAUGAAUUACAAGGUUUUAGGAAUGUCAUCUUCCAAACACAGCUUGUGUUGAGUUUUAAAUGAGAUUUAUGCUAAACUGUGUUUGGGUGCCAGACAUGGCAUAUUGAUUUGCAAACCCCAAUCUCUGCAUACGGACAGUGGCUGGAAGAGAAACUCCAGCUUCGAGGCAGUUCCGUAAAUUGUAAGCUUAUUUUCCGAGGGUAGAGACUCAUUUGUCCACCUCGAGGACAAUGACUAACAUGAACCCUGUCCCAGGGGAGCUCAAAUCCUGAAGUAAGAUGGCCGAGAAAAUGAGAAGCGGACUUGGCAAUAGCAGCAAAAUGUCACAGUGCCAUUCGCACCAGCGCCAACGGUAUUUGCUUUUCUGUCCUCCAUUCCCCCUGUCAUCCCAGGUCUUUCUGUGCUUCAGAAAUUCAUCUGGGCAGCUUCAGAGCUCGUCUCUGCUCCUGCUCCCACUGCCCUGUUUUGCUCUCUCUGAGACAGCUUUGCCACUUGCGAAUUAAAAAUUUGCUCCCAGAUUCUCUUAUCUGAAGUUUACUGGUUAUUGUAGUUGGAGACUGCACACGAGGUCCUUAGUCUAAAUUCCUUAGUCUAUCUGAGAUUCCUAGUCUGUCAUAAAUUUCUU